GUGCCAGCAGCUGCGGUAAUACGUAGGUGGCGAGCGUUGUCCGGAAUUACUGGGUGUAAAGGGCGUGUAGGCGGGAAUGUAAGUCAGAUGUGAAAUUCCGCGGCUCAACUGCGGGGCUGCAUCUGAAACUAUGUUUCUUGAGUGCUGGAGAGGAAAGCGGAAUUCCUAGUGUAGCGGUGAAAUGCGUAGAUAUUAGGAGGAACACCAGUGGCGAAGGCGGCUUUCUGGACAGUAACUGACGCUGAGGCGCGAAAGCGUGGGGAGCAAACAGGAUUAGAAUACCCUGGUAGUCCACGCCGUAAACGAU
Molecule: ribosomal RNA, 307 nt
Filed under: uncultured Clostridium sp.
Lineage: Bacteria; Bacillati; Bacillota; Clostridia; Eubacteriales; Clostridiaceae
Description: bacterial SSU rRNA
Rfam family: Bacterial small subunit ribosomal RNA
Source: RNAcentral